CCCUUAGACGUUCUGGGCCGCACGCGCGCUACACUGACGAAGGCAACGAGCUUUCCUUUACCGAAAGGUACGGGUAAUCUUUUGAAACUUCGUCGUGCUGGGGAUAGAUCCUUGCAAUUUUUGGUCUUAAACGAGGAAUGCCUAGUAAGCGCAAGUCAUCAACUUGCGUUGAUUACGUCCCUGCCCUUUGUACACACCGCCCGUCGCUACUACCGAUUGAAUGGUUUAGUGAGGCCUUCGGAUCCGCGACUCGUUUGUGGAGAAGUUGGACAAACUCAGUCAUUUAGAGGAAGUAAAAGUCGUAACA
RNAcentral lists this ribosomal RNA (307 nucleotides) under uncultured eukaryote. RNAcentral describes it as "partial 18S ribosomal RNA". It matches the Rfam family "Eukaryotic small subunit ribosomal RNA", at positions 1470 to 1796 of the family's 1831-position model. The record is from RNAcentral.